This 449-nucleotide ribosomal RNA is filed under the name uncultured bacterium. RNAcentral's name for it is "partial 16S ribosomal RNA". It matches the Rfam family "Bacterial small subunit ribosomal RNA", at positions 29 to 523 of the family's 1533-position model. The record is from RNAcentral.
AACGAACGCUGGCGGCAUGCCUAACACAUGCAAGUCGAACGAGAUCUUCGGGUCUAGUGGCGCACGGGUGCGUAACGCGUGGGAAUCUGCCCUUUGGUUCGGAGUAACAGUUGGAAACGACUGCUAAUACCGGAUGAUGACGAAAGUCCAAAGAUUUAUCGCCAGAGGAUGAGCCCGCGUAGGAUUAGCUAGUUGGUGUGGUAAAGGCGAACCAAGGCGACGAUCAUUAGCUGGUAUGAGAGGAUGAUCAGCCACACUGGGACUGAGACACGGCCCAGACUACUACGGGAGGCAGCAGUGGGGAAUAUUGGACAAUGGGCGAAAGCCUGAUCCAGCAAUGCCGCGUGAGUGAUGAAGGCCUUAGGGUUGUAAAGCUCUUUUACCCGGGAUGAUAAUGACAGUACCGGGAGAAUAAGCUCCGGCUAACUCCGUGCCAGCCGCCGCCGUAA